This 449-nucleotide ribosomal RNA is filed under the name uncultured bacterium. RNAcentral's name for it is "bacterial SSU rRNA". It matches the Rfam family "Bacterial small subunit ribosomal RNA", at positions 354 to 796 of the family's 1533-position model. The record is from RNAcentral.
GUCGAGAAUCAUUCGCAAUGGGCGCAAGCCUGACGAUGCGACGCCGCGUGAGCGAUGAAGGCCCUCGGGUUGUAAAGCUCUUUCGCCUGGGAACAAGGAAAGCUGGCUAAUACCCAGUUACUUGAGGGUACCAGGUAAAGAAGCACCGGCUAACUCCGUGCCAGCAGCUGCGGUAAUACGGAGGGUGCAAGCAUUAAUCGGAUUUAUUGGGCGUAAAGGGCGCGUAGGCGGGAAGGUAAGUCAUAUGUGAAAUCCCGGGGCUCAACCUCGGACCCGCAUGUGAAACUGCCUUUCUUGAGGGUAGGCGGAGAAAACGGAAUUCCACAAGUAGCGGUGAAAUGCGUAGAUAUGUGGAAGAACACCGGUGGCGAAAGCGGUUUUCUAGCUUAUUCCUGACGCUGAGGCGCGAAAGCAAGGGGAGCAAACAGGAUUAGAAACCCUGGUAGUCC